CUCCAGAUGUUUUUCAGACUACAAUUCCCAUCAUCCCUGACCCCUGGUCCUGUUAGCUAGAGGUGAUGGGAGUUGUAGCCCCAAAAACAUCUGGAG
Molecule: microRNA precursor, 96 nt
Filed under: Podarcis lilfordi (Lilford's wall lizard)
Lineage: Eukaryota; Metazoa; Chordata; Lepidosauria; Squamata; Lacertidae
Source: RNAcentral